Molecule: transfer RNA, 74 nt
Filed under: Streptococcus pneumoniae
Lineage: Bacteria; Bacillati; Bacillota; Bacilli; Lactobacillales; Streptococcaceae
Also listed under: 1 other name
Description: tRNA-Arg(acg)
Rfam family: tRNA
About the family: Transfer RNA (tRNA) molecules are approximately 80 nucleotides in length.
Source: RNAcentral
GCACCCUUAGCUCAACUGGAUAGAGUACCUGACUACGAAUCAGGCGAUUAGAGGUUCGACUCCUCUAGGGUGCA